Molecule: ribosomal RNA, 492 nt
Filed under: uncultured bacterium
Lineage: Bacteria
Description: partial 16S ribosomal RNA
Rfam family: Bacterial small subunit ribosomal RNA
Source: RNAcentral
AGUGAACGCUGGCGGUAGGCCUAACACAUGCAAGUCGAACGGCAGCACAGUAAGAGCUUGCUCUUACGGGUGGCGAGUGGCGGACGGGUGAGGAAUACAUCGGAAUCUACUUUUUCGUGGGGGAUAACGUAGGGAAACUUACGCUAAUACCGCAUACGACCUACGGGUGAAAGCAGGGGAUCUUCGGACCUUGCGCGAUUGAAUGAGCCGAUGUCUGAUUAGCUAGUUGGCGGGGUAAAGGCCCACCAAGGCGACGAUCCGUAGCUGGCCUGAGAGGAUGAUCAGCCACACUGGAACUGAGACACGGUCCAGACUCCUACGGGAGGCAGCAGUGGGGAAUAUUGGACAAUGGGCGCAAGCCUGAUCCAGCCAUACCGCGUGGGUGAAGAAGGCCUUCGGGUUGUAAAGCCCUUUUGUUGGGAAAGAAAAGCAGCAGGUUAAUACCCCGCUGUUCUGACGGUACCCAAAGAAUAAGCACCGGCUAACUUCGUG